GACGAACGCUGGCGGCGUGCCUAAUACAUGCAAGUAGAACGCUGAAGGAGGAGCUUGCUCUUCUGGAUGAGUUGCGAACGGGUGAGUAACGCGUAGGUAACCUGCCUGGUAGCGGGGGAUAACUAUUGGAAACGAUAGCUAAUACCGCAUAACAGUAGAUGUUGCAUGACAUUUACUUAAAAGGUGCAAUUGCAUCACUACCAGAUGGACCUGCGUUGUAUUAGCUAGUUGGUGGGGUAACGGCUCACCAAGGCGACGAUACAUAGCCGACCUGAGAGGGGGAUCGGCCACACUGGGACUGAGACACGGCCCAGACUCCUACGGGAGGCAGCAGUAGGGAAUCUUCGGCAAUGGCCGGAAGUCUGACCGAGCAACGCCGCGUGAGUGAAGAAGGUUUUCGGAUCGUAAAGCUCUGUUGUAAGAGAAGAACGAGUGUGAGAGUGGAAAGUUCACACUGUGACGGUAUCUUACCAGAAAGGGACGGCUAACUACGUG
This 495-nucleotide ribosomal RNA is filed under the name uncultured bacterium. Its description in RNAcentral is "partial 16S ribosomal RNA". It matches the Rfam family "Bacterial small subunit ribosomal RNA", at positions 28 to 507 of the family's 1533-position model. The record is from RNAcentral.